GGAAAGCGUAAUGCUGCCAUCAAAGGUUUUGAAGCAGAAGCUUGAGGGCAAAAUUUCUGCUGCUCAAGUCAAAAGAAAAUGGGAAAACCUAAAACAAAAAUAUAAAGAUCUUAAAUGUCCACAGAAUGGUGUGAGCACCGAGGAUGGGGAGGUUACAGCAGCGUCUUGGAAGUGGUAUUCUGUCUCGGAUGAGGCAAUAGGGGGCAGACCCUCCAUCACACACCACCCAACCUUAUUGCCUCGUCCGGAUCAGAUGUUGAUGUAACCUCACCAUCCUCAGUGAGGUCAACGGCUGAAAGAGCAGGGAGGAAGAGGAAAGAAACAGAGGAGCCGGAGAGGGAAGCAGAAAGAGAAAUGGAAGCAGUAGAAAGGGAGGAGAGGAGAUGGAGAGAGAUGAUGGAAAGGGAGGAAAGAAGAGAAAGAGAGAGACGAGAACGAGAGGCCAAGGAUAGAGAAGAAAGAAGAGACCGAGAAAUGAGAGAGAGAGAGAGGAAAGACGAGACAAAGGAGAGAGAGAGAUUUCUUCAGCUUUUACAGCUCAUGGCAAAAAAAUAAAGAAUAUUAAUAUUAAACUACA
Cyprinus carpio (common carp) is the source of this 577-nucleotide long non-coding RNA. The record is from Ensembl. NCBI's taxonomy places the organism in Eukaryota, Metazoa, Chordata, Actinopteri, Cypriniformes, Cyprinidae.